UGGGGAAUAUUGCACAAUGGGCGAAAGCCUGAUGCAGCAACGCCGCGUGAGCGAAGAAGGCCUUUGGGUCGUAAAGCUCUGUCGGAAGGGAAGAAACAAAUGACGGUACCUUCUGAGGAAGCCCCGGCUAACUACGUGCCAGCAGCCGCGGUAAUACGUAGGGGGCAAGCGUUAUCCGGAAUUAUUGGGCGUAAAGAGUGCGUAGGUGGUCUUGUAAGCGUGGGGUGAAAGGCAGUGGCUUAACCAUUGUAAGCCUUGCGAACUGUAAGACUUGAGUGCAGGAGAGGAAAGCGGAAUUCCUAGUGUAGCGGUGAAAUGCGUAGAUAUUAGGAGGAACACCAGUGGCGAAGGCGGCUUUCUGGACUGUAACUGACACUGAGGCACGAAAGCGUGGGGAGCA
RNAcentral lists this ribosomal RNA (400 nucleotides) under uncultured bacterium. RNAcentral's name for it is "bacterial SSU rRNA". It matches the Rfam family "Bacterial small subunit ribosomal RNA", at positions 355 to 770 of the family's 1533-position model. The record is from RNAcentral.